GUAGGUGGCAAGCGUUGUCCGGAAUUAUUGGGCGUAAAGCGCGCGCAGGCGGUCCUUUAAGUCUGAUGUGAAAGCCCACGGCUCAACCGUGGAGGGUCAUUGGAAACUGGGGGACUUGAGUACAGAAGAGGAAAGCGGAAUUCCGAGUGUAGCGGUGAAAUGCGUAGAGAUUUGGAGGAACACCAGUGGCGAAGGCGGCUUUCUGGUCUGUAACUGACGCUGAGGCGCGAAAGCGUGGGGAGCAAACAGGAUUAGAUACCCUGGUAGUCCACGCCGUAAACGAUGAGUGCUAAGUGUUAGGGGGUUUCCCGCCCCCCUUAGUGCUGCAGCUAACGCAUUAAGCACUCCGCCUGGGGAGUACGGCCGCAAGGCUG
RNAcentral lists this ribosomal RNA (374 nucleotides) under uncultured organism. RNAcentral describes it as "partial 16S ribosomal RNA". It matches the Rfam family "Bacterial small subunit ribosomal RNA", at positions 527 to 896 of the family's 1533-position model. The record is from RNAcentral.